ACGAACGUUGGCGGUGUGCCUAAUACAUGCAAGUCGAGCGAGAAAGCCGGGGCAACUCGGCGAGUACAGCGGCGGAAGGGUGCGUAAUACAUGGUUAACGUACCCCCUAGUUAGGGAUAACCCUCCGAAAGGUGGGCUAAUACCGGAUAAUGGCAACGGGUGGCAUCACUUGUUGCUUAAAGACGCAAGUCACUAGGGGAGCGGACCAUGGCCUAUCAGCUAGUUGGCGGGGUAACGGCCCACCAAGGCGAUGACGGGUAGCCGGACUGAGAGGUUGAACGGCCACACGGGAACUGAGACACGGCUCCGACAUCUACGGAUGGCAGCAGUAGGGAAUCUUGCGCAAUGGGCGAAAGCCUGACGCAGCGACACCGCGUGGGGGAUGAAGGCCUUCGGGUUGUAAACCCCUUUCAUGAGGGAAGAACACUGACCUAACCUCAGGAAGAAGCACCGGCUAACUCCGU
RNAcentral lists this ribosomal RNA (464 nucleotides) under uncultured bacterium. RNAcentral's name for it is "bacterial SSU rRNA". It matches the Rfam family "Bacterial small subunit ribosomal RNA", at positions 29 to 506 of the family's 1533-position model. The record is from RNAcentral.